GACGUACGCUGGCGGCGUGCUUAACACAUGCAAGUCGAACGGAAAGGCCCUGCUUUUGUGGGGUGCUCGAGUGGCGAACGGGUGAGUAACACGUGAGUAACCUGCCCUUGACUUUGGGAUAACUUCAGGAAACUGGGGCUAAUACCGGAUAGGAGCUCCUGCUGCAUGGUGGGUGUUGGAAAGUUUCGGCGGUUGGGGAUGGACUCGCGGCUUAUCAGCUUGUUGGUGGGGUAGUGGCUUACCAAGGCUUUGACGGGUAGCCGGCCUGAGAGGGUGACCGGCGACAUUGGGCCUGCGAUACGGCCCAGACUACUACGGGAGGCAGCAGUGGGGAAUAUUGCACAAUGGGCGGAAGCCUGAUGCAGAAACGCCGCGUGCGGGAUGACGGCCUUCGGGUUGUAAACCGCUUUCGCCUGUGACGAAGCGUGAGUGACGGUAAUGGGUAAAGAAGCACCGGCUAACUACGUG
This 468-nucleotide ribosomal RNA is filed under the name uncultured bacterium. RNAcentral describes it as "partial 16S ribosomal RNA". It matches the Rfam family "Bacterial small subunit ribosomal RNA", at positions 28 to 507 of the family's 1533-position model. The record is from RNAcentral.